Molecule: ribosomal RNA, 305 nt
Filed under: uncultured bacterium
Lineage: Bacteria
Description: bacterial SSU rRNA
Rfam family: Bacterial small subunit ribosomal RNA
Source: RNAcentral
UUUGUCCUACGGGAGGCAGCAGUGAGGAAUAUUGGUCAAUGGGCGCGAGCCUGAACCAGCCAAGUAGCGUGAAGGAUGACUGCCCUACGGGUUGUAAACUUCUUUUAUAAAGGAAUAAAGUGAGGCACGUGUGCCUUUUUGUAUGUACUUUAUGAAUAAGGAUCGGCUAACUCCGUGCCAGCAGCCGCGGUAAUACGGAGGAUCCGAGCGUUAUCCGGAUUUAUUGGGUUUAAAGGGUGCGUAGGUUGUUUUUUAAGUCAGCGGUGAAAGUUUGUGGCUCAACCAUAAAAUUGCCGUUGAAACUG